RNAcentral lists this transfer RNA (73 nucleotides) under Fasciola gigantica. It matches the Rfam family "tRNA". Rfam says of the family: Transfer RNA (tRNA) molecules are approximately 80 nucleotides in length. Their secondary structure includes four short double-helical elements and three loops (D, anti-codon, and T loops). Further hydrogen bonds mediate the characteristic L-shaped molecular structure. tRNAs have two regions of fundamental functional importance: the anti-codon, which is responsible for specific mRNA codon recognition, and the 3' end, to which the tRNAs corresponding amino acid is attached (by aminoacyl-tRNA synthetases). tRNAs cope with the degeneracy of the genetic code in two manners: having more than one tRNA (with a specific anti-codon) for a particular amino acid; and 'wobble' base-pairing, i.e. permitting non-standard base-pairing at the 3rd anti-codon position. Lineage: Eukaryota; Metazoa; Platyhelminthes; Trematoda; Plagiorchiida; Fasciolidae. The record is from Rfam by way of RNAcentral.
GCCGCGAAGGCUCAGUUGGUAGAGUAUCUGCCCGGUAAGCGGAGUGUCGCCGGUUCGAUUCCGACUCGCGGUG